RNAcentral lists this ribosomal RNA (468 nucleotides) under uncultured bacterium. RNAcentral's name for it is "partial 16S ribosomal RNA". It matches the Rfam family "Bacterial small subunit ribosomal RNA", at positions 28 to 507 of the family's 1533-position model. The record is from RNAcentral.
GACGAACGCUGGCGGCGUGCUUAACACAUGCAAGUCGAACGGAAAGGCCCUGCUUUUGUGGGGUGCUCGAGUGGCGAACGGGUGAGUAACACGUGAGUAACCUGCCCUUGACUUUGGGAUAACUUCAGGAAACUGGGGCUAAUACCGGAUAGGAGCUCCUGCUGCAUGGUGGGGGUUGGAAAGUUUCGGCGGUUGGGGAUGGACUCGCGGCUUAUCAGCUUGUUGGUGGGGUAGUGGCUUACCAAGGCUUUGACGGGUAGCCGGCUUGAGAGGGUGACCGGCCACAUUGGGACUGGGAUACGGCCCAGACUCCUACGGGAGGCAGCAGUGGGGAAUAUUGCACAAUGGGCGGAAGCCUGAUGCAGCAACGCCGCGUGCGGGAUGACGGCCUUCGGGUUGUAAACCGCUUUCGCCUGUGACGAAGCGUGAGUGACGGUAAUGGGUAAAGAAGCACCGGCUAACUACGUG